RNAcentral lists this ribosomal RNA (580 nucleotides) under uncultured bacterium. RNAcentral's name for it is "bacterial SSU rRNA". It matches the Rfam family "Bacterial small subunit ribosomal RNA", at positions 36 to 614 of the family's 1533-position model. The record is from RNAcentral.
CUGGCGGCAGGCCUACACAUGCAAGUCGAACGGUAACAGGAUGUGCUUGCACAUCGCUGACGAGUGGCGGACGGGUGAGUAAUGCUUGGGAACUUGCCUUUGCGAGGGGGAUAACAGUUGGAAACGGCUGCUAAUACCGCAUAAUGUCUUCGGACCAAACGGGGCUUCUGCUCCGGCGCAAAGAGAGGCCCAAGUGAGAUUAGCUAGUUGGUAAGGUAACGGCUUACCAAGGCGACGAUCUCUAGCUGUUCUGAGAGGAAGAUCAGCCACACUGGGACUGAGACACGGCCCAGACUCCUACGGGAGGCAGCAGUGGGGAAUAUUGCACAAUGGGGGAAACCCUGAUGCAGCCAUGCCGCGUGUGUGAAGAAGGCCUUCGGGUUGUAAAGCACUUUCAGUUGUGAGGAAAAGUUAGUAGUUAAUACCUGCUAGCCGUGACGUUNACAACAGAAGAAGCACCGGCUAACUCCGUGCCAGCAGCCGCGGUAAUACGGAGGGUGCGAGCGUUAAUCGGAAUUACUGGGCGUAAAGCGCACGCAGGCGGUUUGUUAAGCUAGAUGUGAAAGCCCCGGGCUCAACC